Molecule: small nucleolar RNA, 95 nt
Organism: Bison bison bison
Lineage: Eukaryota; Metazoa; Chordata; Mammalia; Artiodactyla; Bovidae
Source: Ensembl
UUUAGGAGCCAAUGAUGUUUCCAUUCAAAAUGUCUGAACCUGUCUGAAGCAUCCCAGUGAUGCAAACUCUGUGUGGUGCUGAGGCUCCUGUGCCA